GAGGUAAGGGCUCACCAAGGCGACGAUCAGUAGCUGGUCUGAGAGGACGACCAGCCACACUGGAACUGAGACACGGUCCAGACUCCUACGGGAGGCAGCAGUGGGGAAUUUUGGACAAUGGGGGAAACCCUGAUCCAGCAAUGCCGCGUGAGUGAAGAAGGCCUUCGGGUUGUAAAGCUCUUUUGUCAGGGAAGAAACGGUGAGCUCUAACAUAGCUUGCUAAUGACGGUACCUGAAGAAUAAGCACCGGCUAACUACGUGCCAGCAGCCGCGGUAAUACGUAGGGUGCGAGCGUUAAUCGGAAUUACUGGGCGUAAAGCGUGCGCAGGCGGUUGUGCAAGACAGAUGUGAAAUCCCCGGGCUCAACCUGGGAAUUGCAUUUGUGACUGCACGGCUAGAGUGUGUCAGAGGGGGGUAGAAUUCCACGUGUAGCAGUGAAAUGCGUAGAGAUGUGGAGGAAUACCGAUGGCGAAGGCAGCCCCCUGGGAUAACACUGACGCUCAUGCACGAAAGCGUGGGGAGCAAACAGGAUUAGAUACCCUGGUAGUCCACGCCCUAAACGAUGUCUACUAGUUGUCGGGUCUUAAUUGACUUGGUAACGCAGCUAACGCGUGAAGUAGACCGC
RNAcentral lists this ribosomal RNA (625 nucleotides) under uncultured beta proteobacterium. RNAcentral describes it as "bacterial SSU rRNA". It matches the Rfam family "Bacterial small subunit ribosomal RNA", at positions 254 to 872 of the family's 1533-position model. The record is from RNAcentral. Lineage: Bacteria; Pseudomonadati; Pseudomonadota; Betaproteobacteria.